This 220-nucleotide unclassified non-coding RNA is filed under the name uncultured Actinomycetes bacterium. Its description in RNAcentral is "uncultured actinobacterium contains 16S-23S intergenic spacer region". Lineage: Bacteria; Bacillati; Actinomycetota; Actinomycetes. The record is from RNAcentral.
UCCGGUUUGGCACCGGCAGUCUCCCUAGAGUUCCCGGCAUCACCCGCUGGCAACUAAGGACAGGGGUUGCGCUCGUUGCGCCACUUAAGGCAACACCUCACGGCACGAGCUGACGACAGCCAUGCACCACCUGUGCAGGCUCCGAAGAGCACCCGCUUUCACGGGUUUCACCCUGCAUGUCAAGCCCAGGUAAGGUGGGGAUGACGUUGAACGGUUGGUU